AAUGUACUCCCUCCGUUCGGAAUUACUUGUCUCGCAAAUGGAUGUAUCUAGAACUAAAAUACGUCUAGAUACAUCCAUUUCUGUAACAAGUAAUUUCGAACGGAGGGAGUAUGUG
Triticum aestivum (bread wheat) is the source of this 115-nucleotide non-coding RNA. The record is from Rfam. NCBI's taxonomy places the organism in Eukaryota, Viridiplantae, Streptophyta, Magnoliopsida, Poales, Poaceae.